Molecule: ribosomal RNA, 497 nt
Filed under: uncultured bacterium
Lineage: Bacteria
Description: partial 16S ribosomal RNA
Rfam family: Bacterial small subunit ribosomal RNA
Source: RNAcentral
GAUGAACGCUGGCGGCGUGCCUAAUACAUGCAAGUCGAGCGAACAGACGAGGAGCUUGCUCCUCUGACGUUAGCGGCGGACGGGUGAGUAACACGUGGAUAACCUACCUAUAAGACUGGGAUAACUUCGGGAAACCGGAGCUAAUACCGGAUAAUAUAUUGAACCGCAUGGUUCAAUAGUGAAAGACGGUUUUGCUGUCACUUAUAGAUGGAUCCGCGCCGCAUUAGCUAGUUGGUAAGGUAACGGCUUACCAAGGCAACGAUGCGUAGCCGACCUGAGAGGGUGAUCGGCCACACUGGAACUGAGACACGGUCCAGACUCCUACGGGAGGCAGCAGUAGGGAAUCUUACGCAAUGGGCGAAAGCCUGACGGAGCAACGCCGCGUGGGUGAUGAAGGUCUUCGGAUCGUAAAACUCUGUUAUUAGGGAAGAACAAAUGUGUAAGUAACUAUGCACGUCUUGACGGUACCUAAUCAGAAAGCCACGGCUAACUACGUG